UACAGAGGGUGCGAGCGUUAAUCGGAAUGACUGGGCGUAAAGGGCGCGUAGGCGGUUUUUUAAGAUGGUUGUGAAAUCCCUGGGCUUAACCUAGGAAUGGCAACCAUGACUGGAAAGCUGGAGUACUGUAGAGGGUAGUGGAAUUUCCGGUGUAGCGGUGAAAUGCGUAGAGAUCGGAAGGAACACCAGUGGCGAAGGCGGCUACCUGGACAGAUACUGACGCUGAGGCGCGAGAGCGUGGGGAGCAAACAGG
This 253-nucleotide ribosomal RNA is filed under the name uncultured bacterium. Its description in RNAcentral is "partial 16S ribosomal RNA". It matches the Rfam family "Bacterial small subunit ribosomal RNA", at positions 524 to 776 of the family's 1533-position model. The record is from RNAcentral. RNAcentral also lists the same sequence under 1 other name.